UGCUGCGGUGAAUACGUUCCCGGGUCUUGUACACACCGCCCGUCACACCAUGGGAGUCGGAAAUGCCCGAAGCGGUGACCCAACCGAAAGGAGGGAGCCGCGAAGGCAGGUCUGAUAACUGGGGUGAAGUCGUAACAAGGUAAC
Molecule: ribosomal RNA, 144 nt
Filed under: uncultured bacterium
Lineage: Bacteria
Description: partial 16S ribosomal RNA
Rfam family: Bacterial small subunit ribosomal RNA
Source: RNAcentral